AUGUUUUGCAUUAGAAUAUCAGAUAGCACUAUGUGAAACAAAUGCUCAAUAAAACAGAACAGAAGCCUACCAACAUUGAUAAGGAAACAUUAUAGCAACUUAGCAUGACUACGAUGAGAAUACAACAGAUGAAAAGCAGAUAUCUAUGUUCGCUCAACAUAGCAGAUAAUCAAGAAAAAAAAGGUCGUUCUGAAUUAGUGACGCAAUGGAGCGCUUCAUAACUUUCAUCAAUCACUCAAAGUGAUAUGCAAAAAGAACAAAUAGGAAAAACUCUCACGUACACACUCACACCCCACAAACCAGAGUCCAUAAAAGAUCAUAAAAAUUCAAUAAAAAACAACACUUGACAAAUAUAUGACACUUCCAAAGCUACUUCUACAUGGGUCCACAAGCAAUGCCAAGUCCCAAGCCAAAUCAAUCAUGUCAAUUGCAGUAGAGUACCUAACACAUGCAUAGAUACAUCAACAAUUUACAUGCACAUACGGAUCAUAGGAAAAAAAAUAUUAUACUUCGAAAA
Molecule: long non-coding RNA, 517 nt
Organism: Rhododendron vialii
Lineage: Eukaryota; Viridiplantae; Streptophyta; Magnoliopsida; Ericales; Ericaceae
Exons: 2
Source: RefSeq, a predicted model, not a curated record